AAGGAUUUUCUAAGAACUUGUUUAUGUUGAACCUGUUCUUUGAGCUGCUACCAGUGGAUCUUUCUGUGAAGCCAAGCAUUUGGCAUUUAGUUAAUUACAUACAGAUGCUCCAUAGUUUAGGUUGGGCUUGUGUCUUGCUAAACCCAUCAUGAGUUGAACCUGUGUUUGGUAUACCUUCUGGGCAUUGCAACAGAGACCCCCCGGGGUAGCUGGCUUCUGCUUUGUUUGCAUGGUGGGGGUGAUGGGCUGGCUGCUGCCCCACAGCAUCUCAGGAGAGGAUCCUGGAUCUGUAGUCCAAGGAAAGGUCAGGAUUCCUAGUACAUUCCCAUCAUCAUAAAGUCGGGUCUGAGCCAGGGGCUGUGUUUCCUUGCUGUCCAAUACAGAGUGACCACAUCACCCUGUGCGUUGGGGAAACCGGAACCCCGUACCAGUGGCGUGAAUGAGCGUCCUGACACUGCACUAGAAUUGCCCAGUCCCCAUCCCUUAGUUCCCUGUUCGGUUCCUAAACAAACCUCUGGGCUGUUCUCUGCCUGCACUGCCACCUUUUUUUUCCUUUCUGUUUCUUUGGAGGAUCAGGGUCCAACUAUCUAAUUUCCUGCCACUUGUUUUGGAGACCCAGCUGGAGUUCAUGGUUGUUGGCUUCAGCAUGGCAGUGGCAGAGUGAACCAGUAGAUGGAAGGUGUUUUCUGUGUCUCCUCUGUCACUCCUUAAAUAAAUGAAUCUUGCAAGAACAGGGGUAGUGUUGCACAAUAGAUCUACUAUCGCAUGCCGUGUCAGAGUGCUGGCUUGAGUCCCAGCUGCACCUCUUCUGAUCCAGCUUCAGUGAACUUAGACUGUCAUCAGAAGAUGGCCCAGGAACUUGGUCCCUGCCGCCCUGAUGGGAGAGCAGGAUGGAGUGCUUGGCUUUCGCCUGGCCUGGACAUGGCUAUUGUAGCUAUUUGGGAAGUGAACCAGCAAUGGGAAAUCUUUGUUUCUUUGUUAUUUUGCCUUUUGAAAAAAAUAAAUCUUGAGAAGACCACACACAACAAUUUCCUUCCCCUAGGUUCUGUAGGAAUCCCGUGCCUUUGUUUGCUGCAUAGCUGUUCCCUACCUUUCAUGUUCUUGGUACCAUUCUUGUGAUAUUUUUCAUGUUUGGCUUGCAUUUUAGGCCUUGUGUAUGAACUCACCUUUCAUACUAGAAAGUUCCCAGUUUCCCAUAGUGCUUUCUAGGGAGUAAGCAAGUGAAAGAUACUUGUUGGAUCUUCGUGGUUUGAAGGAUUAUCUGUGAGCCACUGUGCUGGACACCAAAAGUGACAAGUUGUUGUGGCCUGCAGCUCCAAAUUUGUUUCAUAAUAACACAAGAGAUAAUUAACUUGCUCUAGGUUGGGGGAGUGAGCACAAGACACCUGAAAAGUGAUGUCCAUAUAGGUAUGAGCAAGUGCAGUGAGGCAAGCACGGACUUUAUGCCUUGGGUGACUGUAACUGCAUUGAAA
Ochotona curzoniae (black-lipped pika) is the source of this 1472-nucleotide long non-coding RNA. RefSeq lists it as uncharacterized. The record is from RefSeq and is a predicted model, not a curated record. Lineage: Eukaryota; Metazoa; Chordata; Mammalia; Lagomorpha; Ochotonidae. The transcript has 2 exons.